GUGAGUGGGAUAGUCAACUUUCGGAAUCUGCUGUUAAAUCAGCAAAUUCUGAUUAAUGAGAAUUUGAUUCUGAGGAAGGUCUGUCCAUCUUAAGGGAUGUCUGCCUUAACAACCCUCAAGAUUUUAUCAAGAGGUAGAGAGAUAUCACUUAACAACAGCAAUGUUGAGUCACUGUUGAAAAACAGUUGUCGCGAGGCAAAGCUCUGCUACAGAAACGCCACAGUCCUGUUGGAGUUAUGAACUCUUGGAGGGAACUUAGAAAACAGGAAUUUGAUGAAACGAGCAACUUGGCUGAUGCAAGAGCAAGCAAUAAGCUACGCUCGCUAAGUAAGAUGUUGAUGCAAUCCAUCUCUGCUCUGCAGAGGGAUUGACAGAAGGUGGCCUAUUUCCCACUCAC
Molecule: RNase P RNA, 397 nt
Filed under: Candidatus Pacearchaeota archaeon
Lineage: Archaea; Nanobdellati
Description: RNase P RNA component
Rfam family: Archaeal RNase P
About the family: Ribonuclease P (RNase P) is a ubiquitous endoribonuclease, found in archaea, bacteria and eukarya as well as chloroplasts and mitochondria. Its best characterised activity is the generation of mature 5'-ends of tRNAs by cleaving the 5'-leader elements of precursor-tRNAs. Cellular RNase Ps are ribonucleoproteins.
Source: RNAcentral